This 311-nucleotide ribosomal RNA is filed under the name uncultured Planctomycetota bacterium. Its description in RNAcentral is "bacterial SSU rRNA". It matches the Rfam family "Bacterial small subunit ribosomal RNA", at positions 387 to 689 of the family's 1533-position model. The record is from RNAcentral. Lineage: Bacteria; Pseudomonadati; Planctomycetota.
CGAAGCGACGCCGCGUGGGUGAGGAAGGCCUUCGGGUUGUAAAGCCCUGUCAGGAGUUAAGAAAUGUAGGCUAGCUAAUAUCGGGUCUAUUUGACAAAGGCUCCAAAGGAAGCCACGGCUAACUCUGUGCCAGCAGCCGCGGUAAUACAGAGGUGGCAAGCGUUGUUCGGAAUUAUUGGGCGUAAAGAGCACGUAGGUGGAUUUGUAAGUCAGACGUGAAAGCCUUCUGUUCAACGGGAGAAUUGCAUCUGAAACUACAAACCUUGAGUGUAGGAGGGGAGAAUGGAACUUCUGGUGGAGCGGUGAAAUGC